Molecule: unclassified non-coding RNA, 886 nt
Filed under: Hevea brasiliensis (rubber tree)
Lineage: Eukaryota; Viridiplantae; Streptophyta; Magnoliopsida; Malpighiales; Euphorbiaceae
Source: RNAcentral
AAAAUGAUUUAUCAGAUGCUCAUCCUGUGAUUGACAUAUACGUAAUAUAUUAAACAAACAUGCUGGUCCAAGGUUUUCAAUUUGAGUACAAGGGUCAUAUCAAAAAUUCCAAUGACAAUAAAUAUCUCAAGAUAUGAUGUCAGUUGAAAAUUUAUCAAAUACACAUUAUUAUCAUGUCAUUCAAAUUAUUUUGUCUAAGAUACUUGAUAUUUUCAUCUUUUAUCACCUAAUUUGCAAUACAAUCAAGUUAUAAAACAUUUAGACUGACAAGAAUCUGUCGAACGAAAAUCAUUUAAUUAAAAAUGAUAACAAGCGUAUUAACAUGAUACUGCCUACUAGAAACACUCAUCUUAAAGGAACUUUAAGGGAAAAGAUUACGUGAAAUUUAGAUGUAAGGAAAUGUAAAAAUACACCAUGAUGAAUCGCUAGAGUAAGGUAAAUAGGUGAACUUCCACAACCACAAGCCUCCAUCAAGCCAAAAACAAGAAAUGAGCCAGCAGAAUAAAAAUUGAGCCAAUUAGCAAAAAUUUAGCUCAAAUAACUAUGGAAAAUUCUUUCAAAGUUAAACUAAUUGUAUAAAAGCCCACGUCAACAUCUUUUUUUUCAUUUCCUCCCAAGUUGAUUAUCAAACAUAAACCCAGUAAGUUUCAUGUUUGAAUUUUUCACGUACACAGCCAUUUCUAAAAAAUUAUCCAUAAAGGAAACCUACAGAAGCAUACUAACGCAAUAGGAGAAAGCAAACGCUAUUUUCUAAUUCAGAAAAUAAGAUGAUAGUGUGUGAUAAGUCAACAAUCCGUGACACAUUUCUAUAUUUUCCCACAUUAAAGAUCAGUCAAAUAGUGCAUCCCAUCAAAGUGACUUACAUGGCGAGAAAGAAUGGUACGAA